GCCUCGUUGGCGUAGUGGUAGCGCGUGUCACUUGUAACUCCUUGGAGAAAGUCAAUGACAAGGUCAGUAGUUCAAUCCUGCUACGAGGCU
Coniochaeta ligniaria NRRL 30616 is the source of this 90-nucleotide transfer RNA. It matches the Rfam family "tRNA". From Rfam's summary of the family: Transfer RNA (tRNA) molecules are approximately 80 nucleotides in length. Their secondary structure includes four short double-helical elements and three loops (D, anti-codon, and T loops). Further hydrogen bonds mediate the characteristic L-shaped molecular structure. tRNAs have two regions of fundamental functional importance: the anti-codon, which is responsible for specific mRNA codon recognition, and the 3' end, to which the tRNAs corresponding amino acid is attached (by aminoacyl-tRNA synthetases). tRNAs cope with the degeneracy of the genetic code in two manners: having more than one tRNA (with a specific anti-codon) for a particular amino acid; and 'wobble' base-pairing, i.e. permitting non-standard base-pairing at the 3rd anti-codon position. Lineage: Eukaryota; Fungi; Ascomycota; Sordariomycetes; Coniochaetales; Coniochaetaceae. The record is from Rfam.